GUUCGAGCGUCAUUACAACCCUCAAGCUCUGCUUGGUAUUGGGCUCUGCCAGUCCUGGCAGGCCUCAAAGUCAGUGGCGGUGCAUCCGGCUCCAAGCGUAGUAACUCUUCUCGCUUCGGAGGCCGCGGUGCGUGCUAGCCAGCAACCCCCAAUUUUUUCAGGUUGACCUCGGAUCAGGUAGGGAUACCCGCUGAACUUAA
Molecule: unclassified non-coding RNA, 200 nt
Filed under: soil metagenome
Description: partial contains internal transcribed spacer 2 and large subunit ribosomal RNA
Source: RNAcentral